AAAAACUCCCCCCAAGACAAACAUCAAACCGCCUCACACUCUCUUCACUUCAUGUAUCUCUUUCAUUUUUCCAAAGACAUAAAAAAAUACAAAAAUACACUCCCCUCUUCUCAUAUGUCUCAGAAUCACUUCAAAAGAAAAAAGAGAACGUCACAUACUUAGCAAAGUUACAGCAAACAAAAACACCAUACAAGAUAUCCUCUCACUAUCACAACACAUAACAACCAUGGAUAAACAUAAAACUCCAACAUAACCCUCC
Molecule: long non-coding RNA, 259 nt
Filed under: Lathyrus oleraceus (garden pea)
Lineage: Eukaryota; Viridiplantae; Streptophyta; Magnoliopsida; Fabales; Fabaceae
Description: Pisum sativum (pea) long non-coding RNA (PSAT_LNC015312)
Source: RNAcentral